Long non-coding RNA from Sinocyclocheilus anshuiensis, 1900 nucleotides. The record is from Ensembl. NCBI's taxonomy places the organism in Eukaryota, Metazoa, Chordata, Actinopteri, Cypriniformes, Cyprinidae.
AUGCUCCUCUUCUCGGUGUUGCUCUGCUUCAUCCAGUGGACAGAGAGAGCUUGUUGUUGGCGCAGGUUGCCCCCUGCAGCUUCAGACCUGCGCACAGACAGACAGACAGAACGCUCUGAGACCCAGCAGACACUGACACGCUCCUCAUCUCUCUCUCGGGCCGCUCUCACCUCUGAUGCCGAAGCUGCAGGCGUCCAGCGCCGCUCCCUGCGCAGACGUCACGUUCACCUCCAGACACAGCUCCUCCAGAGACCAGCUGUUGACCUGAGCCACAUACUGACGCGUGGCUGUGAUGUAGGCCUCCGGCACGAACAGACCGCCCAGGUUCACAUGGAUGUUCUGCAGGAGAACAACAGUCAGUUCAACACUUAGAAAGCUGGAGAGGAGACCACGCCGUCCUGCGAGUUUUCUGCAGCACUUUAUUAAAUCCAGAAUGAGUCCGAGCAGCUUCACAGUGAUAAGAAGGAACACCGCACCCAACUAUGUUUCAAAAAUCAUGUUUUAAUUGUGACCAUGAUUUCUGCUUCUCUUGAUUUAUUAAGUGUAACUGUCUGCAAUAUUUGCCUGCUGACUAUUAAUCCUGAAACAUUUAAUUUGGCAUGUGCAUGAUCUUGGAUGGAACUGGGUGAAAUAUUCAGAAAGGAAUCAGUCCAGUCUGACCUGUGUUGCAGGCUGGAAUUAAACCACAUCGCGCUGGUUUCUCCCAAGGUUUCUUCUCCAUUUCUGUCACCGAUGGAGUUUUGGUUUCUUGCCGCUGUCGCCUUUGGCUUGCUUAGUUGGGGACACUCAGGAACCAAGCUCUUUAUAGAUUAACCAACCUCAUCAUUGUUGGCCUUUACACAGUUAUUAAACUGCCCUGAAUCAGCAAUGAACUGAUUUCAACUGAAUGACUUUUUAGAGCUGCUUUAGAGCAGAAUUGAACUUUGUUUGCAUCACUGAAUCAAUAUUUUCUUGUUUAUCACUGUAAAGCUGCUUUGAAACAAUCUGUACUGUAUAAAGCGCUCUAGAAAUAAAGGUGACUUGACUUUGGUAACAAGCUUUCCAGGUUGAGUUUAAAUCCUCCAUUCAGAGCUUUCCUCUUAAACCGAAACAUUUCCAGCCCAGUGGUUUACUUAAUCUUCCCAACCUGGCAACCAUCCGCACACUCUCUAUGAUCUGAAAAAUCAUGUUAAGUUGGAGUUUAGCGAUCUCUAUUGAGAUAUUGUGAUAACCGUGUAAUACAGCCAGUCUGUUAGCGGUGACUAAAGCAUGCGAGUCGAUGUUCUCGAUCUGCGCCGAGGCUCAGUCCGGUCUGAUGUGUGUGUUUUUGACACCUUGAGCUCUUUAGCGCCGCCGCUGGCCGCUCCCUGUGAGAUCUGCUGCAGCUGCUUGAUCCGCUCGCUGAAGUCUGCCACCCACUGGAUGACGGUCAUGGCUGCGGGGACGGUGUAGCGGCUCCAGCUGCGGGGCAGGAUGCCUGCGGAGCACAGCACAGCGCUUCAGUGACCCGGCGCACACAAGACACUGAUCUGAGGUCACUCCGCUGACUCACCUUUGACCAGGUCGUUGAUGAGCGUGCGCAGGUCGUUGGUCUGCUUCUUCUUGCCCUCGCACACAUGCACCACAUCAGUGAGAUCCUGACGCACGUCCUGCAGCAUCCGCGAGCCCAUCUUCACCUCGCGCUCGAAGAACCGGAACAGAGGAUCCUGGGAAGAACAGACGCUUUCAGGAAGUCAACAACAAAACACGGAGCGUUUGAUCAGACACAAUCUGAGCUGCCAUCAGGGGCAAAGGUGUGUAUCACUUCUAAAUAGGGUUACAAAAAAGUGGAAAAUUUCCAGUAAAUUUCAGAAACAUUCCAGGAUUUUUUGGGAUUUUUGAAGUUUCCAGAAAUUUACCAGAAAUUUGCAACCCAACUUCU